Molecule: long non-coding RNA, 229 nt
Filed under: Gossypium raimondii (Peruvian cotton)
Lineage: Eukaryota; Viridiplantae; Streptophyta; Magnoliopsida; Malvales; Malvaceae
Description: long non-coding RNA (GRAI_LNC003981)
Source: RNAcentral
GCAGUUCGUACAAAGCUUUGUUCAACUUACAUACCAGCUUCUGACCGUUGGGGCCUGGCACCUCAAAUCCAGGCGGCUGGUCCAUUAAAAUUUCUUUCGUGGGGUCGGUAUGUGAUCAAAUAGACUGUAAAAUAUGAAAUCCAGUCAUGUGGUAGUAUAAAUUCUGAUAUAUGUUCGUAUAUUUGAGACGUCAUAUGACAAAUAAACCUUGUAAUAGGCUAUGAGUAAC